This is a long non-coding RNA of Gallus gallus (chicken), 2075 nucleotides long. NCBI's taxonomy places the organism in Eukaryota, Metazoa, Chordata, Aves, Galliformes, Phasianidae. The record is from Ensembl.
UCCCCUUGGAGCACCGAACGUCACUGCAGGUGGGUCUCCUGAUGGAACUCUUCGUCUGGACACACUGGGGCCAACCAUUGACCAUCUGGCACACGGUUCCCUUUUGGCAUUGGACAUCCUGGCAGGAGGGCUGGUUCUGCACACAGUGGGGCCACCCAUCUCUUAUCCUACACGACGUCCCUUUGGGACACUGCAUGUCCUUGCAAGAAGGCUGCUUUGGGACCACCUUGGGUUGAACACAUCGAGGCCAUCCAUCCUCCAUCUGACACACCGUCCCCUUGGAGCACCGAACAUCACUACAGGUGGGUCUCCUGAUAGAGGUCUUGAUUUGGACACAAUGAGGCCAUCCAUCCACUGUCUGACACUCCAUUCCCUUCUGACAUUGGAUAUCAUGACAGGAGGGCUGGUUCUGCACACAGUGGGGCCACCCAUCUCUGAUCUGACAUGAGGUCCCUUUGGGACACUGCAUGUCCUUGCAAGAAGGCUGCCUUGGGACCACCUUGGGUUGAACACACUGGGGCCAACCAUCCACCGUCUCACACACUGAACCUUUGGAACACCGUAGGUCACUACAGGUGGGUCUCCUGAUGGAAGUCUUGAUUUGGACACAAUGAGGCCAUCCAUCCACCAUCUGGCACACAGUUCCCUUCUGACACUGGACAUCCUGGCAGGAGGGCUGGUUCUGCACACAGUGGGGCCACCCAUCUCUGAUCCUACACGACGUCCCUUUGGGGCACUGAAUGUCCUUGCAAGAAGGCUGCUUUGGGACCACCUUGGGUUGCAAACAUUGAGGCCAUCCAUCCACCAUCUCACACACUGUCCCCUUGGAGCAGUGAACAUCACUGCAGGUGGGUCUCCUGAUGGAACUCUUCAUCUGGACACAAUGAGGCCAUCCAUCCACCAUCUGGCACACGGUUCCCUUCUGACACUGAACAUCCUGGCAGGAGGGCUGGUUCUGCACACAGUGGGGCCACCCAUCUGUCAUUCUGCAUGAGGUCCCUUUUGGGCACUGCAUGUCCCUGCAUGAAGGUUGCCUUGGGGCCACCUUGGGUUGAAGACACUGAGGCCAUCCAUCCACCAUCUGACACACCGUCCCCUUGGAGCACCGAACAUCACUACAGGUGGGUCUCCUGACAGAGGUCUUGAUUUGGACACACUGAAGCCAACCAUUCACCAUCUGGCACUCCGUUCCCUUCUGACAUUGGAUAUCAUGACAGGACGGCUGGUUCUGCACACAGUGGGGCCAUCCAUCUGUCAUCCUACAUGAGCUCCCUUUGGGACACUGCAUGUCCUUGCAAGAAAGCUGCUUUGGGACCACCUUGGGUUGAACACAUUGAGGCCAUCCAUCCACCAUCUCACACACUGUCCCUUUGGAGCACCGAACAUCACUGCAGGUGGGUCUCCUGAUGGAAGUCUUCGUCUGGACACAAUGAGGCCAUCCAUCCACCAUCUGGCACACGGUUCCCUUCUGACAUUGGACAUCCUGGCAGGACAGCUGGUUCUGCACACAGUGGGGCCACCCAUCUGUCAUCCUACAUGACGUCCCUUUGGGACACUGAAAGUCCUUGCAAGAAGGCUGCUUUGGGACCACCUUGGGUUGAACACAUCGAGGCCAUCCAUCCUCCAUCUGACACACCGUCCCCUUGGAGCACCGAACGUCACUACAGGUGGGUCUCCUGAUGGAAGUCUUGAUUUGGACACAAUGAGGCCAUCCAUCCACCAUCUGGCACUCGGUUCCCUUCUGACAUUGGACGUCCUGGCAGGAGGGCUGGUUCUGCACACAGUGGGGCCACCCAUCUGUCAUCCUACACGAGGCCCCCUUGGGACACUGCAUGUCCUUGCAAGAAGGCUGCCUUUGGGCCACCUUGAUUUGAACACACUGAGGCCAUCCAUCCACCAUCUCACACACUGAACCUUUGGAGCACCGAACGUCACUACAGGUGGGUCUCCUGAUGGAAGACUUUGUCUGGACACACUGAGGCCAACCAUUGACCAUCUGGCACACGGUUCCCUUCUGACAUUGGAUAUCAUGACAGGAGGGCUGGUUCUGCACACAGUGGGGCCAUCCAUCUGUC